CCGUCCGGCAUCCUAGGCGGGUCGCUGCGGGACCUCCCUCGUGUCUGUGGCGGUGGGAUCCCGUGGCCGUGUUUUCCUGGUGGCCCGGCC
Molecule: microRNA precursor, 90 nt
Organism: Homo sapiens (human)
Lineage: Eukaryota; Metazoa; Chordata; Mammalia; Primates; Hominidae
Rfam family: mir-663 microRNA precursor family
Source: Rfam